CCUAGACGCUGGCCCGUCAUCUGGGGAGUAGCCAGCCGUUCCUUUUUCCGGAACGGGCCAUGCGUCAACAUAUUCGGCUGAGAGGCCGUGGCGCAUGGGGCGCGGCGCAAAGCCGCAUCGGGCGAGACCAAUGGCAUCGACGCGUU
RNAcentral lists this small RNA (146 nucleotides) under Sphingomonas sp. RNAcentral's name for it is "Manganese sequence". The stretch from base 22 to 129 matches the Rfam family "Manganese Mn2+ riboswitch aptamer (yybP-ykoY)". From Rfam's summary of the family: This RNA was originally discovered in E. coli during a large scale screen and was named SraF. The family was later found to exist upstream of related families of protein genes in many bacteria, including the the yybP and ykoK genes in B. subtilis. The specific functions of these proteins are unknown, but this structured RNA element may be involved in their genetic regulation as a riboswitch. The record is from RNAcentral. Lineage: Bacteria; Pseudomonadati; Pseudomonadota; Alphaproteobacteria; Sphingomonadales; Sphingomonadaceae.